AAAGUCCUGAAUAUGGAGUAGCUUUCCUGCACUGACCAGCAUCACUGGACUGUCAGCAUUAGAGACGUUGAUCCAAAGCUCAUUCUCACCACCUGUUUCUGGCACCAUCAAGGUGACUGUCUGCCUCAAGAAGGAAAAUGAAGCCUGCUGUUGUUCUUAUUUUGCUGUUAUUUGCUGCUUAUUAUAAUGAUGCACUCAACUGCUAUAAAUGUGUCGGUACUGGGAAGUAUGCAAGUUGUAUCCAGAAAUCUUUUACCUGUCCCAAGGGACAGACCAAAUGCCUCUCAGCUUCUUUCAUCCCUCCAAAUUAUGGUUAUUACCGCAACUGUGCCACACCAGGGGAAUGUACUCGUGCACCAGGAAUCAAUAUCACGUGUUGUGCUACAAACCUCUGUAAUGUAUAGAGGCUGAGUGUAGUCAUACAGUAUGAAUUAUGGUGGCUGCAUAACCACAUCUUCUGUGUUUAAAACACUGUAGCCUUCUCUACAAUAAUGCAAACUUGUGUAGAAACUAGUAUGUCUCUUAAAUGUAUAUCAAAAUAAAACUGUACCAGUAACAAUUUAUUAAAGCAUGGCAUUGUAUAUGUGUAAUUGUAGAAACUAUAUAAAACAUGGAGCACAUAUGGGACAGUUAGGAAUAACUGGUUUAUUCCACCACCAAAAUGAUCAGAUUGCUAGUGGCCUGUCCUGUUUUACUGUUGUAAUCACUAUAAAUCCAGACUCCUUUAUGUCAAAAUAAUGAUAAUGUUGAAUAACAAAUGCAUAUUUUAUACUACAAAAGCUCUGCUAUCCAUUUUAAUUAUUUGAAAUAAAACAUACAUACAUAUAUGUCACAUUUAGCCACUUUGUGAGACAGACUGGUAUUUGGGUCUCACUGAAGAUACUAUGAAAUAAACAUUAUUGUAAAAUAUUGCUUGUUGCUCCGAAAUGAAACAUUAAUCUGUAAUGUAACCUGCCUGGCAGUCUGAAAUGCAAAAUAUCACUCUGAAAUAAAACCUACAUGUGGUCUAAAAUGUAAAA
Molecule: long non-coding RNA, 1019 nt
Organism: Protopterus annectens (West African lungfish)
Lineage: Eukaryota; Metazoa; Chordata; Ceratodontiformes; Protopteridae
Exons: 4
Source: RefSeq, a predicted model, not a curated record